Non-coding RNA from Nicotiana tabacum (common tobacco), 890 nucleotides. The record is from RefSeq and is a predicted model, not a curated record. Lineage: Eukaryota; Viridiplantae; Streptophyta; Magnoliopsida; Solanales; Solanaceae.
ACCCCUAUAUAAUAGUACCUAAUCCCUAAACACCCCUAGACCCCAAAAAGAUUGGAUCCGCUAUUUUUUCAUAUGAGAAGAGACAAAGAGAAUUCUCCAGCAGCUGCUUCUUCAAUCGGCCAUUUUCUUUCAUUUGAAAAGAGAUCAGCCAAAAUUCUCAAGACCAAAAAAAAGUUGACCUAAAAGGAACGGAAAAGCUGGCAGCGCUGUUCUUGAUGAGAAUUAAAAGCGCUGCAAUACACAAAAACCCGACCCCUCUUGGCGUCGUCCUCUCCACGUCGACUGAAGCAGUGCCAUUGACGACCAAAAAACGAUGUCACUCUUUCACCUCCAUUAAUCUGCAUCCCGACAGUGAAAGCGAGGUUCGGCGAAGUUGUCAUGUUCCGUUCGAGGCUUUCGAUUGUUGGUCCGGUCAGCAGUAGCUCAGUCCAUUUUUGUGAAGAUAUUUAUAUUGGAGCACAUUCCAAAGGUUGUUAGAAAUCUCAAUAUAGACACUAAUGGGAUGCCAUCUGCAACGUUUCCCUUGGUGCUAAGAUGGUUAGAUCAACUGAGAAAACUGAACGAGAAUGACUCCUCCAGGCUGUCUGUGUCUCGACUGCGUCAAUUGUUUGAUCAGUUAACGCAUGAUGAAGUAUGUUAUCCAUCUCACCCAGUUAUUUGCCUUGGCUAAAUAGGUAGGCAUUUAAAUCAGUACGUUAGUUAUUAUUGUUGAUUCCAUGGAUCUGCAUGUAUCUUACUAUAGUCCUCUAAUUAUGAUUUUGAUAGGUCUAUUCAAUAAAAUAUUAGAUUUAGGUAGUUUUUGAAUUCAGGUAUUACUAUAUAUACGAAGAACAUUUGUAGUAGUUUGCAUCUGCAUUAAGAUAAUUGCUGGUAGAGGCUUGCACCUGCUA